This 1365-nucleotide ribosomal RNA is filed under the name uncultured bacterium. RNAcentral describes it as "bacterial SSU rRNA". It matches the Rfam family "Bacterial small subunit ribosomal RNA", at positions 28 to 1381 of the family's 1533-position model. The record is from RNAcentral.
AUUGAACGCUGGCGGCAGGCCUAACACAUGCAAGUCGAACGGUAACAGGAAACAGCUUGCUGUUUCGCUGACGAGUGGCGGACGGGUGAGUAAUGUCUGGGAAACUGCCUGAUGGAGGGGGAUAACUACUGGAAACGGUAGCUAAUACCGCAUAACGUCGCAAGACCAAAGAGGGGGACCCUCGGGCCUCUUGCCAUCGGAUGUGCCCAGAUGGGAUUAGCUUGUUGGUGGGGUAACGGCUCACCAAGGCGACGAUCCCUAGCUGGUCUGAGAGGAUGACCAGCCACACUGGAACUGAGACACGGUCCAGACUCCUACGGGAGGCAGCAGUGGGGAAUAUUGCACAAUGGGCGCAAGCCUGAUGCAGCCAUGCCGCGUGUAUGAAGAAGGCCUUCGGGUUGUAAAGUACUUUCAGCGGGGAGGAAGGGAGUAAAGUUAAUACCUUUGCUCAUUGACGUUACCCGCAGAAGAAGCACCGGCUAACUCCGUGCCAGCAGCCGCGGUAAUACGGAGGGUGCAAGCGUUAAUCGGAAUUACUGGGGCGUAAAGCGCACGCAGGCGGUUUGUUAAGUCAGAUGUGAAAUCCCCGGGCUCAACCUGGGAACUGCAUCUGAUACUGGCAAGCUUGAGUCUCGUAGAGGGGGGUAGAAUUCCAGGUGUAGCGGUGAAAUGCGUAGAGAUCUGGAGGAAUACCGGUGGCGAAGGCGGCCCCCUGGACGAAGACUGACGCUCAGGUGCGAAAGCGUGGGGAGCAAACAGGAUUAGAUACCCUGGUAGUCCACGCCGUAAACGAUGUCGACUUGGAGGUUGUGCCCUUGAGGCGUGGCUUCCGGAGCUAACGCGUUAAGUCGACCGCCUGGGGAGUACGGCCGCAAGGUUAAAACUCAAAUGAAUUGACGGGGGCCCGCACAAGCGGUGGAGCAUGUGGUUUAAUUCGAUGCAACGCGAAGAACCUUACCUGGUCUUGACAUCCACGGAAGUUUUCAGAGAUGAGAAUGUGCCUUCGGGAACCGUGAGACAGGUGCUGCAUGGCUGUCGUCAGCUCGUGUUGUGAAAUGUUGGGUUAAGUCCCGCAACGAGCGCAACCCUUAUCCUUUGUUGCCAGCGGUCCGGCCGGGAACUCAAAGGAGACUGCCAGUGAUAAACUGGAGGAAGGUGGGGAUGACGUCAAGUCAUCAUGGCCCUUACGACCAGGGCUACACACGUGCUACAAUGGCGCAUACAAAGAGAAGCGACCUCGCGAGAGCAAGCGGACCUCAUAAAGUGCGUCGUAGUCCGGAUUGGAGUCUGCAACUCGACUCCAUGAAGUCGGAAUCGCUAGUAAUCGUGGAUCAGAAUGCCACGGUGAAUACGUUGCCCGGGCCU